This 564-nucleotide ribosomal RNA is filed under the name Kitasatospora sp. 337C08. Its description in RNAcentral is "bacterial SSU rRNA". It matches the Rfam family "Bacterial small subunit ribosomal RNA", at positions 93 to 671 of the family's 1533-position model. RNAcentral also lists the same sequence under 3 other names. The record is from RNAcentral. Lineage: Bacteria; Bacillati; Actinomycetota; Actinomycetes; Kitasatosporales; Streptomycetaceae.
CAGUGGCGAACGGGUGAGUAACACGUGGGGAAUCUGCCCUGAACUCUGGGACAAGCCUUGGAAACGAGGUCUAAUACCGGAUACGACCUUCUCCUGCAUGGGGGUUGGUGGAAAGCUCCGGCGGUUCAGGAUGAUCCCGCGGCCUAUCAGCUUGUUGGUGGGGUAAUGGCCUACCAAGGCGACGACGGGUAGCCGGCCUGAGAGGGCGACCGGCCACACUGGGACUGAGACACGGCCCAGACUCCUACGGGAGGCAGCAGUGGGGAAUAUUGCACAAUGGGCGAAAGCCUGAUGCAGCGACGCCGCGUGAGGGAUGACGGCCUUCGGGUUGUAAACCUCUUUCAGCAGGGAAGAAGCGCAAGUGACGGUACCUGCAGAAGAAGCACCGGCUAACUACGUGCCAGCAGCCGCGGUAAUACGUAGGGUGCGAGCGUUGUCCGGAAUUAUUGGGCGUAAAGAGCUCGUAGGCGGCCUGUCGCGUCGGAUGUGAAAGCCCGGGGCUUAACCCCGGGUCUGCAUUCGAUACGGGCAGGCUAGAGUGUGGUAGGGGAGAUCGGAAUUCCU